GUGCUAGCACCCGUGUGUGUAUACGUAGGGUGCAAAUGUUGUCCCGAAUUAUUGGGUGUAAAGGUGCUCGUAGGUGUGUUGAUCGCGUCGGAAGUGUAAUCUUGGGGCUUAACCCUGAGCGUGCUUUCGAUACGGGUUGACUUGAGGAAGGUAGGGGAGAAUGGAAUUCCUGGUGGAGCGGUGGAAUGCGCAGAUAUCAGGAGGAACACCAGUGGCGAAGGCGGUUCUCUGGGCCUUUCCUGACGCUGAGGAGCGAAAGCGUGGGGAGCGAACAGGCUUAGAUACCCUGGUAGUCC
Molecule: ribosomal RNA, 296 nt
Filed under: uncultured microorganism
Description: partial 16S ribosomal RNA
Rfam family: Bacterial small subunit ribosomal RNA
Source: RNAcentral